Molecule: ribosomal RNA, 460 nt
Filed under: uncultured bacterium
Lineage: Bacteria
Description: partial 16S ribosomal RNA
Rfam family: Bacterial small subunit ribosomal RNA
Source: RNAcentral
CCUACGGGUGGCAGCAGUGAGGAAUAUUGGUCAAUGGACGCAAGUCUGAACCAGCCAUGCCGCGUGCAGGAUGACGGCUCUAUGAGUUGUAAACUGCUUUUGUACGAGGGUAAAGCCCGAUACGUGUAUCGGGUUGAAAGUAUCUUACGAAUAAGGAUCGGCUAACUCCGUGCCAGCAGCCGCGGUAAUACGGAGGAUCCGAGCGUUAUCCGGAUUUAUUGGGUUUAAAGGGUGAGUAGGCGGUUUGAUAAGUUAGAGGUGAAAUGUUGGGGCUCAACCCCGAAACUGCCUCUAAUACUGUUAGACUAGAGAAUAGUUGCGGUAGGCGGAAUGUGUGGUGUAGCGGUGAAAUGCUUAGAGAUCAUACAGAACCCCGAUUGCGAAGGCAGCUUACCAAACUAUAUCUGACGUUGAGGCACGAAAGCGUGGGUAGCAAACAGGAUUAGAUACCCGUGUAGUC